Molecule: long non-coding RNA, 1855 nt
Organism: Cyprinus carpio (common carp)
Lineage: Eukaryota; Metazoa; Chordata; Actinopteri; Cypriniformes; Cyprinidae
Source: Ensembl
CCUUCCCUUACCAAAAAGUAGUAUACUUCAAGUUUAUGUUAAGUGUACUUAAGUAAAUUUCAAGUAUAUUUUCAAGUAUACUUUAUGUAGCAAGUAUACAAAUAUCAGUAUUCUAGUAGUAUACUUGUAAGUGUACUGUUUCAAUACUCCUUGGGACUAAAUUAGCCCACUUUCUAGUAUAUAAAAGUAUACUUUUAAGCCAAAAGGGGCGGGGCAUCGGGCUAUAUAAGCAGCCGUCUCACCUAGGCAAACUUUUGCUGAGGUUUGUAUAAAAAGAGAAAAUUUCCUAGAGCAAAUUUCGUGGUGUUGUUUCAAAUGUCGUGCCACAGUUGUGGCUUAUGCAGGGCCCCUGUGCAUGCUGAUGAUGGGCACGAUGACUGCGUGCGAUGCCUGGGAAGUCCCACGCUGAAAUCCCAAGGAAAUCCAGCUGCUCAUCGACACGACCUGUCCACAUUGCGUGGAUAUGAGUCUGGCCUCUCUGCGCUCAUGGAUAACUUUCUUUUCAGAAAGCGACUCCGCCCCACGCUCCCUCCUGUUUCUCUCCUCCCAGGAGCCUGUGAGGAAGUAACAGCGGGGCAGAGGAUUCCAGUGCUCGGAUGUGAUCGAGCUCACGUCGGCUCAAGGCCCACAUGCAUCAGUCUCUCCUCAGAGAAAGUUUUCGCCCGUCCACUUGACUGCCGACUUACGUUCUCGGUCACUGAAAACCGCUCUGCUAGUGGUGCUAGCAUCGGUUAAGCGAGUAGGAGACUUGCAGGCUCUCUCUGUGAGCCCCUCUUUUCUUGAGUUUGGGCCUGGCGACUCCAAGGUCGUCCUGAAGCCAAGGCACGGGUAUGUCCCAAAUGUUCUCUCCACUGCGUACAGAGACUAGAUUGUUGUUCUCUCCACGCAUCCUCCUUCUCAGGAUGAUCAGGAGUGGAACUUACUCUGCCCUGUCAGGGCUUUAAGGGCUACACUGACCGCCUCUUUUCGACAGUCAGAACAGCUAUUUGUGUGCUUCGGAGGCAACACCAAGGGUCAUUCGGGUCAUCAUGGGGUUAGCUUUGUCCCCUACAUGUUCUCAGGCCCCUUGGCGCCUGAACUGCAGGAGGUCAACAAGGUGACUGGUGUAAUUACAUUCCCGAUUGGUCUGAGAUAUUUUACGUAUUCAUUACAAGCCCUUCUUAGUGCUCUGGGCGAAAACCCGGUCAUCCUUCCUGAUAGCAUGGCGUGAUUAUAUUGUCCCCAUAGCGUCUUAGUGUAAACGGCUUACGACACAGUAAGAGUGUAGUAUCAAUACAGAAUGAGUAUUGCUUACCUUGCCGUACUAUGCGUAAGGACACCUCAUGUCGUCGCUUCAGUCGAAUUAAAUCAGUUUGCCUAGGUGAGACGGCUCACUCACCAUAGGCUCACGCGGCUCUGCUGCUCCGCCAUUGGUUCGUUUAUAUCGAACUCCACGAACCAAUGGUCGUGCAGUUUCAAUGUGUGAUUCAAAAAGGCUUCAGAAAUCGGAGAAAAGGACUUUUCCCCAUAGCGUCUUAGCCUAAACAGCUUACGACGCAGAACUCAUUCCGUAUCUAAGGGAACCGAGGUUACGUUAGUAACCGAGUAUGUUUAGUAGUUUUAUACUGCAAGUAUACUCAUAAGUUUUCUUUAAGUGAACUUUACAUCAUAAUUUAAGUAUACUACUACAUCCCUAUUUAGGUUUUAAUUUGUAUAUAUUUUGUUAUAUGAAUAUCUGAACAUACAAAACAUCCAAAGAAAGAACAGAGUAUCUGCUUGUAAACAAAAACAUUUUAUUCUAGCUUCAUGCAUUCCUUUUUUAAACACUUUAAUGUGGGUAAAUUUCAUAAAAAAUAAAGAAAUAACAUUUUGAACA